RNAcentral lists this transfer RNA (76 nucleotides) under Chloroflexota bacterium. RNAcentral's name for it is "tRNA-Met". It matches the Rfam family "tRNA". Rfam says of the family: Transfer RNA (tRNA) molecules are approximately 80 nucleotides in length. Their secondary structure includes four short double-helical elements and three loops (D, anti-codon, and T loops). The record is from RNAcentral. RNAcentral also lists the same sequence under 2 other names. Lineage: Bacteria; Bacillati; Chloroflexota.
GGGCCAGUAGCUCAGGGGUUAGAGCAAUCGGCUCAUAACCGAUCGGUCGCAGGUUCGAUUCCUGCCUGGCCCACCA